GAAGAGGCAGAAGGGGGGAGAGAGAGGGGGGCACCGGCCCGCUGGUUCUGGGGGAAGAAUGCAGAUCCCCCACUAUGGGCGCACAAAAUGGGCCCGGCAUACGCCGGUGCCACUCUCCCGGCCAAGCCUCGGGUUGACACCAUGCAGCAGCACACGGCGUUCCCACAAUGCACCGGCCCUCGUCUGUCACACACAGGCUCGCACACGCUCCCCCUGCGCCCGGAGGGAGCCCCGGCCAGGCUCGCGGGCGCCCAGGUGCCGACCCCUCCAAGCC
This is a long non-coding RNA of Perognathus longimembris pacificus (Pacific pocket mouse), 274 nucleotides long. RefSeq lists it as uncharacterized. The transcript has 3 exons. The record is from RefSeq and is a predicted model, not a curated record. Lineage: Eukaryota; Metazoa; Chordata; Mammalia; Rodentia; Heteromyidae.